GAUGAACGCUGGCGGCGUGCCUAAUACAUGCAAGUCGAACGAAACUUCUUUAUCACCGAGUGCUUGCACUCACCGAUAAAGAGUUGAGUGGCGAACGGGUGAGUAACACGUGGGCAACCUGCCCAAAAGAGGGGGAUAACACUUGGAAACAGGUGCUAAUACCGCAUAACCAUAGUUACCGCAUGGUAACUAUGUAAAAGGUGGCUAUACUACCGCUUUUGGAUGGGCCCGCGGCGCAUUAGCUAGUUGGUAGGGUAAAGGCUUACCAAGGCAAUGAUGCGUAGCCGAAUUGAGAGGUUGAUCGGCCACAUUGGGACUGAGACACGGCCCAAACUCCUACGGGAGGCAGCAGUAGGGAAUCUUCCACAAUGGGCGAAAGCCUGAUGGAGCAACGCCGCGUGGGUGAAGAAGGUCUUCGGAUCGUAAAACCCUGUUGUUAGAGAAGAAAGUGCGUGAGAGUAACUGUUCACGUUUCGACGGUAUCUAACCAGAUAGCCACGGCUAACUACGUG
Molecule: ribosomal RNA, 512 nt
Filed under: uncultured bacterium
Lineage: Bacteria
Description: partial 16S ribosomal RNA
Rfam family: Bacterial small subunit ribosomal RNA
Source: RNAcentral